CUUAAUAGAGAAGCAUUCAGCGCUUGGGAAGAGCUCUUGAGUUAGGACAAUGGAGUGGCAAAUUAAAAAAAAAAAAAAAAAAAAACUAAGAAUCAGGAGGAUCCAGCAGACAUUUCUGAAGAACUGACUUGGGGAAAUGUCAAGAGGGCGACCCUCAGAUCUGUUGUCAGACUAUGCAAAGUCUCAUCAAAUUAUAUGGUUACGAUUUUCCAGAACAACUAUGCAUACUCUCAAAAAAUUUCUAAUUCUAUUUUCAAAUCCACGCGGCAAGGACCUGAUUUGUGGGAAGCUUAUCAUUGGUCAAUGGUCUCCCCAAGAGGCCGUGUUGAUAGAUAUUCAUAGAGAUUCCCG
This 351-nucleotide long non-coding RNA is filed under the name Eutrema salsugineum. RNAcentral describes it as "long non-coding RNA (ESAL_LNC000690)". Lineage: Eukaryota; Viridiplantae; Streptophyta; Magnoliopsida; Brassicales; Brassicaceae. The record is from RNAcentral.